RNAcentral lists this ribosomal RNA (468 nucleotides) under uncultured bacterium. RNAcentral's name for it is "partial 16S ribosomal RNA". It matches the Rfam family "Bacterial small subunit ribosomal RNA", at positions 28 to 507 of the family's 1533-position model. The record is from RNAcentral.
GACGAACGCUGGCGGCGUGCUUAACACAUGCAAGUCGAACGGAAAGGCCCUGCUUUUGUGGGGUGCUCGAGUGGCGAACGGGUGAGUAACACGUGAGUAACCUGCCCUUGACUUUGGGAUAACUUCAGGAAACUGGGGCUAAUACCGGAUAGGAGCUCCUGCUGCAUGGUGGGGGUUGGAAAGUUUCGGCGGUUGGGGAUGGACUCGCGGCUUAUCAGCUUGUUGGUGGGGUAGUGGCUUACCAAGGCUUUGACGGGUAGCCGGCCUGAGAGGGUGACCGGCCACAUGGGGACUGAGAGACGGCCCAGCCCCCAAGGGGGGGCAGCGGGGGGAAAUAGGGCACAGGGGGGGGAAGCCGGAGGCAGACCCGCCGGGGGGGGAAGGACGGCCUUGGGGUUGAAAACCGCUUCCGCCGGUGAAGAAGCGGGGGUGACGGUAAUGGAAAAAGAAGAACCGGCUAACUGCGUG